UACGUAGGGUGCGAGCGUUGUCCGGAUUUAUUGGGCGUAAAGGGCUCGUAGGCGGCGUGUCGCGUCGGGAGUGAAAGCCCGCUGCUUAACGGCGGGUUGGCUUCCGGUACGGGCAUCGCUGGAGUGCGGCAGGGGAGACUGGAAUUCCUGGUGUAGCGGUGGAAUGCGCAGAUAUCAGGAGGAACACCCGGUGGCGAAAGGCGGGUCUCUGGGCCGAUACUGACACUGAGAAGCGAAAGCGUGGGGAGCGAACAGG
This 256-nucleotide ribosomal RNA is filed under the name uncultured bacterium. RNAcentral describes it as "partial 16S ribosomal RNA". It matches the Rfam family "Bacterial small subunit ribosomal RNA", at positions 524 to 776 of the family's 1533-position model. The record is from RNAcentral.